Molecule: ribosomal RNA, 1381 nt
Filed under: uncultured bacterium
Lineage: Bacteria
Description: bacterial SSU rRNA
Rfam family: Bacterial small subunit ribosomal RNA
Source: RNAcentral
AGAGUUUGAUCUUGGCUCAGGAUGAACGCUAGCGACAGGCUUAACACAUGCAAGUCGAGGGGCAGCACAGGUAGCAAUACCGGGUGGCGACCGGCGCACGGGUGAGUAACGCGUAUGCAACUUACCUAUCAGAGGGGGAUAACCCGGCGAAAGUCGGACUAAUACCGCAUGAAGCAGGGGCCCCGCAUGGGGAUAUUUGCUAAAGAUUCAUCGCUGAUAGAUAGGCAUGCGUUCCAUUAGGCAGUUGGCGGGGUAACGGCCCACCAAACCGACGAUGGAUAGGGGUUCUGAGAGGAAGGUCCCCCACAUUGGUACUGAGACACGGACCAAACUCCUACGGGAGGCAGCAGUGAGGAAUAUUGGUCAAUGGCCGAGAGGCUGAACCAGCCAAGUCGCGUGAGGGAUGAAGGUUCUAUGGAUCGUAAACCUCUUUUAUAAGGGAAUAAAGUGCGGGACGUGUCCCGUUUUGUAUGUACCUUAUGAAUAAGGAUCGGCUAACUCCGUGCCAGCAGCCGCGGUAAUACGGAGGAUCCGAGCGUUAUCCGGAUUUAUUGGGUUUAAAGGGUGCGUAGGCGGCCUUUUAAGUCAGCGGUGAAAGUCUGUGGCUCAACCAUAGAAUUGCCGUUGAAACUGGGGGGCUUGAGUAUGUUUGAGGCAGGCGGAAUGCGUGGUGUAGCGGUGAAAUGCAUAGAUAUCACGCAGAACCCCGAUUGCGAAGGCAGCCUGCCAAGCCAUGACUGACGCUGAUGCACGAAAGCGUGGGGAUCAAACAGGAUUAGAUACCCUGGUAGUCCACGCAGUAAACGAUGAUCACUAGCUGUUUGCGAUACACUGUAAGCGGCACAGCGAAAGCGUUAAGUGAUCCACCUGGGGAGUACGCCGGCAACGGUGAAACUCAAAGGAAUUGACGGGGGCCCGCACAAGCGGAGGAACAUGUGGUUUAAUUCGAUGAUACGCGAGGAACCUUACCCGGGUUUGAACGCAUUCGGACCGAGGUGGAAACACCUUUUCUAGCAAUAGCCGUUUGCGAGGUGCUGCAUGGUUGUCGUCAGCUCGUGCCGUGAGGUGUCGGCUUAAGUGCCAUAACGAGCGCAACCCUCGCCACUAGUUACUAACAGGUAAAGAUGAGGACUCUGGUGGGACUGCCAGCGUAAGCUGCGAGGAAGGCGGGGAGGACGUCAAAUCAGCACGGCCCUUACAUCCGGGGCGACACACGUGUUACAAUGGCGUGGACAAAGGGAGGCCACCUGGUGACAGGGAGCGAAUCCCCAAACCACGUCUCAGUUCGGAUCGGAGUCUGCAACCCGACUCCGUGAAGCUGGAUUCGCUAGUAAUCGCGCAUCAGCCAUGGCGCGGUGAAUUAAAAGCCGGGCCUUGUACU